AGAGUGCCUCACCAUGGAGUGCAGGCGGGUUGGAGCACAGAUGAAGCCUCAGUCCAACCUGGGCAUUCCUGCAGCCAUGUGCAGUGACCCUUGUGUAUGUGAGUGCCUGUCAUGUGCCCACGUAUCCUGGUGGCACAAAACAUACUUUACAUAGAUUGUCAGGACCAAGACACAGAACCUUCUUGGGGCACACCACAAUAAUUCCCCCACUAGCAUUCACCUUAAAAUGAAAGAAUUUUUUUCUAAUUGAUGUGGAUUCCCCAGAUUUAUCUCAUUUCAUGAUGUCUUCAGAAUUGUGUGUUGUGCCACUAUCACACUUCACACUCUCAGUAAGGAGCUCUCAGUUGUCUCACCUGUUAUUGCUCCUCUUUAUUGUAAACGAUGUCCUAUAAAGAAGAUAUAUGUCUACAAUUGAGCUUUGAAGGAGGACCAUGGAGCCAAUUCCUUUUAAAGAGAAUGAAGUCAAGCAGUAAAUUUGCUGGUCACUCUUUUCAUAUGGACUGCAUCUCAGCCAGCAGUUGGUCUUUGAUGUUGUAACAAUGGCACUGGGACCUGAGGCAGAAGAGCACCCCCGUAAUACUGAAACUAGCCUGCAUUCAUUCCAAUUUGGAGAACAAUCUGCGGGAUAGCACACACAUCAGGGAGCCCAGAGAGUGAAUUCCAGGGCUGUGGGUCAUCUUUCCCAGUGAAAACCAGCCAUCUCUUCUACACCAUGUACCCUGCCUGCUGCGUUCUUUACUCUUUUAUUAAAAUUGAAGUAUGAUAUUCCUACAGAAAUAUACACAUAUGUAACUCUACAGCUUAAUAAGAUUUCACAAACUGAAGACACCUAUGUAACCAAUGCCUAGAUCAAGAGGCAAAACAUCACCAGUGCCCUAGCUGCCCUCCUUGGACUCCCUUUUCAUCACUUCCUUGACAAAGGUAACUCUCUUCCAACAGCACAGGUUCCUUUUUCCUGGUUUGGAACUUCACCUAAACAGAAUUAUCCAGCAUGUACUUUACUGUGCCUGGUUUCCUUCACUCAACAUUACAUCUGUGAAAUUGUG
This is a long non-coding RNA of Mandrillus leucophaeus (drill), 1046 nucleotides long. RefSeq lists it as uncharacterized. NCBI's taxonomy places the organism in Eukaryota, Metazoa, Chordata, Mammalia, Primates, Cercopithecidae. The transcript has 3 exons. The record is from RefSeq and is a predicted model, not a curated record.